RNAcentral lists this small RNA (904 nucleotides) under Rattus norvegicus (Norway rat). Its description in RNAcentral is "uncharacterized LOC108349058". Lineage: Eukaryota; Metazoa; Chordata; Mammalia; Rodentia; Muridae. The record is from RNAcentral.
AAGGCCUUGUCCUCCCAAAUAGGUCUCGGCAACAAGACAGGGCGUCCUCUAGGCAGCUGUGUCCCAGUGCCUUCUACACUAAGGGCACCUCCCAGGUAAAUUAACUUCACCCCUUCCAAGGACCUCCACAUUGCAAAUCUGAAAGUCUCACGUGUCACGUUGACCUCACAGUUGGCAACGUAAAGAAGAAAGAGUUUAUUUUGGCUUAUGGUUACACAGUGCUAAGAGUCCAUCACCAUCACAGCAGGGAGGCACGGCAACCAACAAGCUACUGGAACAGCAGCUAGAAUACUUCAGAAGCUGAGAGCUCACUUCUUCAACCACAAACACAAAGCAGAGAAACCGGAAAUGGCGGAAAUGGCGACCUUUCACCGGCUUGGAAAACAGAAUCUAGAAGAGGCUGGCUUGCUGCUGAUCUGACAGGAGCCUAGCAGGACUGUCCUCUGAGAGGUUCCACCCAGCAGCCGACUGAAACGGAUACCGAGACCCACAGCUAAACAUUAGACAGAGCCUGGGAACUCUUAUGGGAGAGUUGGGAGAAGGGUUGAGGGCUCGGAAGGGGAUGGGAACUUCAUGGGAAGAUCAGCAGAGUCAACUAAUCUGGACCCUUGGGGGCUCUCAGAAACUGAGCCACCAACCAAAGAGUACAGACUGGACCGAGACCCCCGGCACAUACUUAGUCUCCAUGUGGGUCCUCCAACAACUGGAGCAGGGGCUGUCCCUAAAGCUAUUACCUGCCAUUCUCCAACUGGGUUGGCUUAUCUGGGGUGGCAGUGGGAAAAGGUGUACCUAACACUGCAGAGACUUGGUGUACCAGGGAGGGCCCUCACCCGCUUAGAGGAGAAGGAGAUGGGGAGGGGACAUGUUGGGGGAGAAGGGGGAACAUUCGGGAUGUAUAAUGAAA